RNAcentral lists this long non-coding RNA (208 nucleotides) under Elaeis guineensis (African oil palm). RNAcentral describes it as "long non-coding RNA (EGUI_LNC047795)". Lineage: Eukaryota; Viridiplantae; Streptophyta; Magnoliopsida; Arecales; Arecaceae. The record is from RNAcentral.
ACCUCAGAAAAUCACAAAUCAACCAUAAUAGAGCAGGAGCCGACCUCAACAAAAUAUGAGUCAACCACAGAAUGGUCUCAAGGUGAAGAUAGAAAGUAGUGAAAAAUAGCUUGUUCCUGAAUUGAUCCUAAUACUUCAUGAGUUAAUCCCAGCUUUAGUUGAGUUGACUUCUUAAAUGGCCAUAGUUAGAAAAUAGAGAUCUACCCCA